This is a long non-coding RNA of Tyto alba (common barn owl), 786 nucleotides long. RefSeq lists it as uncharacterized. The transcript has 2 exons. Lineage: Eukaryota; Metazoa; Chordata; Aves; Strigiformes; Tytonidae. The record is from RefSeq and is a predicted model, not a curated record.
AAAGCGGGGACAUGGGAGAGGAGGCGGGGGGGGGAAGCAGAAUUUGGGAGGUGGUAGCAGCAAUCCGGGCCCUGGCACAAACACAGGACCAACUUGUCCGACUAUUCCUUUGGAAACACCCAACACCUGCAGGGCUGGAGCUGCCGGCACGGCCACGGGGGGCACAGGCAGGAUGUUUCCUGCUAGGAGUUUCCAUUUUUAAACCCUCCCGUUGCCAUAGAAACCUCAUCUCCAGCAGACCUGUGAUGCAGAGCAGCGCUGACCUUCCUCCCUCCUCUCCUUCGUCCCCCCCAGACGCGGAUUAGAAGAGGCACCUCCGCUAGUGAUGCCUUGGGAAGGCCAAGGGCGAGUGAGGAAACGCCUUUCCCUUGGGAUGUUUGGGCUUCGUCGGCCGUGCCGGCACCCCGGGUCCAGCCCCGCAGCGUGGAGUGACCCCGGCAAAGCCCUGCCCAGUCCCUCCCGGGACGGAUCCUGUGCAUCUGCAGCUGCAGGGAUGCAGGAGAUGCACGGAGCCCCGAGGAGACAAAGCCACCUCUGGGCCUGGGGACCCAGCGAGCACUUUUGGAAACAUCCCUUGGACCAUUUCGCAGGAGAAGAAGCACUAAAGAAACUGGUUUUCUCCUGAUUUUUGUUUUCUAGCUCCCACACAAGGUGAGCCUGUCUGCACGAGACCUUUGUGCCACUGCAGCAAAUCUGGAAUUAACAGGUCUCUCUUAAAACUACGUCAAAAUGCAAAUUCUUUAUUUUUUUUUUUUAAUGGAAAACAGAGAAUUUCAUGCUUCUUAA